Molecule: transfer RNA, 74 nt
Filed under: Streptomyces sp. S816
Lineage: Bacteria; Bacillati; Actinomycetota; Actinomycetes; Kitasatosporales; Streptomycetaceae
Description: tRNA-Gln
Source: RNAcentral
CCGCGCGGGCGGCGGCGGGCCGGGCAUCUUUGGGGUGUCCGGCCCGUUCCGCCCGUUCUAUGGGUACGGUUGCG